This 411-nucleotide ribosomal RNA is filed under the name uncultured bacterium. RNAcentral describes it as "bacterial SSU rRNA". It matches the Rfam family "Bacterial small subunit ribosomal RNA", at positions 28 to 433 of the family's 1533-position model. The record is from RNAcentral.
GACGAACGCUGACGGUGUGCUUUAGACAUGCAAGUCGAACGAGAAAGCCCUUCGGGUUAGUAAAGUGGCGAACGGGUGAGUAACACGUGGGCAAUCUGCCCCUCGCAGGGGGACAACCGGAGGAAACUCCGGCUAAUACCCCGUAAGUUCAAAGGGAGGCAUCUCUCUUCGAAGAAAGGUAGCUUCGGCCAUCCGGCGAGGGAUGAGCCCGCGGUGCAUUAGCUAGUUGGUGGGGUAACGGCCUACCAAGGCGACGAUGCAUAGCUGGUCUGAGAGGAUGAUCAGCCACACUGGGACUGAGACACGGCCCAGACUCCUACGGGAGGCAGCAGUCGGGAAUCUUGCGCAAUGGGCGAAAGCCUGACGCAGCAACACCGUGUGUGUGAGGAAGGCCUUAGGGUCGUAAAGCAC